CCUACGGGGGGCAGCAGUGGGGAAUAUUGGACAAUGGGCGAAAGCCUGAUCCAGCCAUGCCGCGUGUGUGAAGAAGGCCUUCGGGUUGUAAAGCACUUUCAGUGGGGAAGAAAGCCUUGGGGCUAAUACCCUCGAGGAAGGACAUCACCCACAGAAGAAGCACCGGCUAACUCCGUGCCAGCAGCCGCGGUAAUACGGAGGGUGCGAGCGUUAAUCGGAAUUACUGGGCGUAAAGCGCGCGUAGGCGGUCUGAUAAGCCGGUUGUGAAAGCCCCGGGCUCAACCUGGGAACGGCAUCCGGAACUGUCAGGCUAGAGUGCAGGAGAGGAAGGUAGAAUUCCCGGUGUAGCGGUGAAAUGCGUAGAGAUCGGGAGGAAUACCAGUGGCGAAGGCGGCCUUCUGGACUGACACUGACGCUGAGGUGCGAAAGCGUGGGCAGCAAACAGGAUUAGAUACCCCAGUAGUC
This 465-nucleotide ribosomal RNA is filed under the name Vreelandella stevensii. RNAcentral describes it as "partial 16S ribosomal RNA". It matches the Rfam family "Bacterial small subunit ribosomal RNA", at positions 338 to 795 of the family's 1533-position model. Lineage: Bacteria; Pseudomonadati; Pseudomonadota; Gammaproteobacteria; Oceanospirillales; Halomonadaceae. The record is from RNAcentral.